This 407-nucleotide ribosomal RNA is filed under the name uncultured bacterium. Its description in RNAcentral is "bacterial SSU rRNA". It matches the Rfam family "Bacterial small subunit ribosomal RNA", at positions 28 to 419 of the family's 1533-position model. The record is from RNAcentral.
GACGAACGCUGGCGGCGUGCCUAACACAUGCAAGUCGUGCGAGAAAGUUCCUUCGGGAGCGAGUAAAGCGGCGCACGGGUGAGUAACACGUAGGUAACCUGCCCCCCAGUCUGGAACAACUAGAGGAAACUCUAGCUAAUGCCGGAUGAGACCACGAUCCCUUCGGGGGUUGCGGCCAAAGAUGGCCUCUACUUGUAAGCUAUCGCUGAGGGAUGGGCCUGCGGGCCAUUAGCUUGUUGGUGAGGUAACGGCUCACCAAGGCUGUGAUGGCUAGCUGGUCUGAGAGGAUGACCAGCCACACUGGGACUGAGACACGGCCCAGACUCCUACGGGAGGCAGCAGUGGGGAAUAUUGCGCAAUGGGCGAAAGCCUGACGCAGCGACGCCGCGUGGGUGAUGAAGGCCUUC